This 30801-nucleotide long non-coding RNA is filed under the name Coffea arabica (coffee). Its description in RNAcentral is "long non-coding RNA (CARA_LNC007985)". The record is from RNAcentral. Lineage: Eukaryota; Viridiplantae; Streptophyta; Magnoliopsida; Gentianales; Rubiaceae.
UUUUUUUUUUUUUUUUUUUUUUGUAACGAUAAAAAAUGCACUAUGGAGAAAGACUUUACAAAAGAAACUUGCAGGAACAUUUCAGUUAAUGAUAAGCAGAAGAAGGGGAAAAAAUAAGAGAGAAGUUGCAGACAGAGAUAUAAAAUUGAAGUAGUUACACCGUAUAACACCUUCUUGGUCAGUCAUUGACAAAUGUGCAUGCUUGAUUUUAAGCCCUAGUCUUGGGGACGAGGGGCCUGGACUACCGUCCCAGACAGUUCACGGCCUGGAUGAGGUCUCAAAAAUUUAUGCGGCUCAAAUCACGUUUUGUAACUCGAUUUUCACAUCGUGUGGGACCCACAAAAAUGUUGUUCUAUUUUACUCGUUGUUGUUCUAUUGUUACACCUUGUACAGAUGAUGUUACACCAUGUACAAAUGGUGUUACACCUUUCGGAGCGGUUGUUCUGACAACCGUCCCAGGCAGUUCACGACCGGGAUGAGGUCUCAAAAAUUUGUGCGGCUCAGAUCACGUUUUGUAAUAGAACUACUUCUGCCUUGUCAGUUCUACAGACAGGAGUCAGACUGACCGCGAAUAAAAGCUAUGGGUAAAGUGUAAAGAGUGAUGCUCUAUUCUGGCUUUCUCCAUCGUGGCAAGAUUUCACAUUCAAAUCUUCCCUGCCAAAGCAAAUUUUAGUACAUCCAACUGUUCAAAUGUUAUCCAUAGAUUAGAGGGAAUAGUUGCUGUAUUGGAUCUGUUUGAAUUAGCUGUUUUUGGAGUGUUUUUAAAAAUUUUUACUGUAGCAGAGUUUUUAUAAUAUAUUUUAGAAAAUAUUUUGGAAUAUUUAAGAGUAGAAGAGAUUUUAGAAUAUAUUUUGAGAUAUUUUUAAACAUUAAAAAAAUUUAGACUAUUUUUAGAGUACUUUUUAAAAUUUUAAUAGUAUUAGGCCUUGUUUGGACAGCAAUUUUCCAAACAAAAAUUAUUAUAUUUUCUGUGAUUUAUCUCACAUAUAUCAAAUCGUUACAGUAAUUUUUUUACAAAAGAUCUAAAAAAAAUACAAUCCAAACCGGGCUUAAUUUUUUAAAAAACUCUUGAAUCCAAACAGAGCCAUAAUGGCGGCCCAUCAGCUCAACAAGUCAACCCCGUUAAAUCAAUAUCUUCCUAAACUUGUUCUCUUUAUUGAAUUACAGCUUGACAAGUAUAUCCAUUUAUGGGCAGAGAACAGCGCCGUCACACAAUGAAAUGGAAUGGAAUACUGGAUGAAAAGAUGGUAAAAUGUGGCUCAGGAAACCGUGCAAGCAACGAUGAUGAAUGGAGAAAAUGGAGACGUAUGUCUGUUUGGAUUGCAAUUUUUGUAAUUUUUUUUUAAAAAUAUUAUAUUUUUUAUGAACAUAUUUUUUAAUUAUUUUUUUUACCUUACAUAUAUUAAAUUACUACAGUAAUUUUUCUAUAAAAAUUCUAAAAAAAUACAACCCAAACAACCAUAGGCUCAUCCUCUUAUGCUCAACCCUUGAGAGAAACAUGAGUAAAAAAUCAUCAAAUAGCCUUGGGAGCAUGCAUGUCCUGGCUCGAUCUCUGGAGAUAUCAUUAAUUCCUAUGGUUAGAAAAAUUUGUUACACAGAUUUCUGACUUUGGGGUUAAAAGGGUCGUCGGAUCAGAAGCCCGAGUUCUAACAAUUUCUUUCAGUUUCUACUGCAAAUUUUAAUAGUUUCAAAUGGAAAAUCUUUUUCAUGGAGUCUUCAUGAUAUGAUCUAAUUGUCGUUUUUUAUAAUUUAAUUAAUCAGGGCAUGUCUUUUUCCUUGUCUACAUGGAUUAGUAGGCAUAUCUUGGUGUUUCUUUCCCCUUUUUGACAUGGAUCAUUAUAUUUUAUCAAUAAAAAACAUUUUAUUUUAGCCAUCACCAUGUAAAACAAUACAUGCACCUAAAAUCCGUACACUAUAAAGCUAAUAUUAGUGAUUUUACUAUAUCUUUUUCUUUUUGAAGGAUUUUACCAGAUCUCGAUGCAACAAAAGUUCUGUCAAAUUUUUCAUUAGGAUAUAGUGUUGGUGGUGCUUAAAUCAGCGGCCAAGAGGAAAAAUAUGUGAGUGCUUACGUCAGAGGAACCAACCACCGAGUAACUAAAAAUUAUUAUUAUUGUAACAACGUGACAACUCGCUUCUCUUCGUCUGCGAUGGUGGGUGUGUCCAAAUUGGACUAGCUGAAGAGAGUUUUUUUUUUUUGUCAGCAACGAUACAUUUGUAUAAUCUACUCUAUCCUAAUUUAACCUAAUUUAGAGGGGAGGGAGAGCCUAAGGAGACUGUGGUAGGAACUAAUGGAUAUACAGUCUCAACUAGACCAAGAAAAUACUAUAACACAACUCUUAGAUUUUUUUUACUGCAGGUGAGAUUUGAACCUUCACCUACGGUCCACCCUGGUGGCCACUGAGCCAUUGGCCUGUAGUUACUAGCUGAAGAGAGUCAAGAAACCCUUUUAGGCAUCCCAAGGAAAAAGCGAAUAAAAAAGUGUAAUAGCGUAAUGAGUAUGGUAUAUUCCUCCCAGUGGUUCAUAGCAUGGAUAUUCCUCCUACAGUUGGGGAACAACUGGACAAGAAACCCAAGACCAUCCAUGAGCCUAAAGGAAAACAUCAUGACAACACAACAGUUGGUCUUAGCUUAUUUUUAUUUCUACUCUAAUCUAGAUUACUCCAACUUAAAUUAAGGGGAGGGUGACAACAGUUAAUCUAACUUACUUCUACUCUUAUUCUAAUCUAGCCCUGUUUGGUACUUGAGUUUUUUACCAAGUUUAUCUGUUACAAGUUUUUAAAAAACUUUAAUUACAGUAAUCUCAAAAAACUUUUCAAAGUUUUUAAACUAUACACUUCAAAAUACUCAAAAAUUUACACACAUCAAAAAUUUUUAAAAAAAAAUUUCUACAGUAAACUACAGUAAAAUUUUAGACAAACACUCAAAAAACUCACUUGCCAAACGGGACCCUAGAUUAGAAAAGAUCUAACCGAACCUAAAAAAUCGACAGAAACUGAACCACCAUCGAAUCAAACAGAUGCACUCGUAUGAAUUUAGAAAAAAUCACACUUAUAGUAACAUAUUAAUGGAAGACAAGAUCCCACCCCACUAGGAUUUAAAGUCUUUAAAGUCUUUAAUGGUGAUCAAUAGCCUAAAGUGCUGUUGGUUAGGAGAACAUCAAUAAUUGCCUUGUACAUUUUGAAUUGAUUUUGUUCGCGACCAGGAAACAUGAGAAUGAUUCACUUCUUUGGGUCCACAUUAAUGACAAAUGGAAUCGGUUCGGAGACCAGAAAUACAGUUUCAUUGACAUGAUCCAAAGCAUAUUACUUGUCCUAGGCAAAGAAAGACAUCCACCAAUUCCUUGGAAACAUGAGGUAAUUAGCGGAGAUAACUGAAAUCUCAUCUUAGAUAAAAGUUAGCUGAUUUCCGUCAUAUUAAACGGGAAUCUCAAAGUGCAAAGAGACUGCAGUAUACGGUCCGCGGGCGAAGCAAGAUAUGAAGGUGAGAAAGAACAUGACCAGAUUGAAGAAAGGUUCAAUGAUACGCCGUCAGAUCAAGGGCUUCCCUGACAGCACAGCACUAAGUGAAGUAGGUGUUCAGCAUUAGGUGCAGUUCAAGGUAAAAAGUGAACUGCCAUGCGGCUGUACAACCAUAGAUAUUGAGCUUGUUACAACUCCAAAAUUUCUCCCUGUCCACAGCUCCGUGCAAGUGCAUGAAGUAUGAAUAAGAUUUCCACCAGGAAGUGCCUUGGCUAUGUCAGAUAUCGUUGUCGAGAUUACUGUCUCAUCUGAAUUUAAAUUAAAAAACGCAAGAUAUAUUUCUCCUGCAUGACAAGAGAGACAGAUAAUUAGUUCGGAAAUCAAAUACUCAGAGUAACUCGCUUGAGUGACUGUUGCAAGGGCGAUUGACACAAAUGCCAAUCAUGUGGAUGAAAGUUGCAGAGCAGCUGAGCCUAGUUUUUUAUACUGCCGAUACCUAACAGUGCAUCAGUAAUCUGACUUCAUGGCAUUAGGCUUUACAGAUUAAGAUGGUAUUUUCCUGAACCCCCUUCUGUUUUUGGGCCAACCCCUUGUCCAACAACCCCCCACCCCCCACAAAGGGCCAAAAAAAACCAAAAACCCCAAAAUAAAAAGAAAAGUUAAGACAUAGUCAGCAAGAAUGCAUAAGAGAACAGUUAAGACGAUCAUAAAGAAGUGGCCAUUUAGAUUACUUUUAGAAUUUUUGAGAAAUUUAAGCUCAUCCGUGGUCAAAUUGGUUUCUAGUUUGGGAUAUCAAACCUCUCCUUCCAGUUGCAAGCCAAGAACGAGUCCCCCCUGUUCCUGCAUCAGCUGCAUGACAAAUCAAUUAGUUAGUUAUGACCACCAAUACUAUCUCAACAGAGAGAAAAAUAUUCAGAUAUUUUCUAUCACCUUGGUUUCUUUUCAUUGACGCACAGAGACCCGAGUAACCAUUUGCCAGGGUUCCGUUGUGCUUCAAGUCCCACAUCUAGUAAGAACAACGGCAUUGAAUAUCAUUUUGAACCCCAAAAACAGAAAAGUUCAAAAGGAAAAGACAAAAUUAAGUUUAAUUUUGAUCCCCAAAUUAACUAUGUUUUCAAUAGACCAUAAAUUCAUAACAUAUUAUGUUUAUGAUGAUUUCAUAAUCCCUGGACUUCAAGUUUUGAAACUAAACACACCUGAUUGGCAUCCAACCGGCAAGGCGAAAAUGAGCCUCUGCUGAACUCCUUUGAGCUAAGUUUUCGACUUGCAGAUGCACCAAGGCAGAAAUCUGUUCCUUCUAUUGCUAAUAAACGGAAUUUACCAUGACUUCUUUUGUCUUCUGUUUCUUCAUCUCUGCAUUACCAUCUUUGUAGAGUCAAACAUCAUUAUGUCAACAACGAUACUGAGUAAAAGUUUGUCAGUCACAACCAAGAGAAUAAGAUAAGGGAGAACAUCAUUACACUUCCAAAAGCAAUUUUUCCUUGUAUAGGCAGAAAGAUGCCUGAUGUUCGCUUUUUGAGUUCUCUUUCCAGCAAACUUUCUCAAGAUCAUCACCAUUUGCUUUAACUGACCAACCUUUAGCAUGCUUGUCCUUGCAGCUACUUAGGCCCAUAAAGAGGUCCUCUGAGGCAUGCCUAACUCCAUAAUUUUCUGGCCGGCUGGUGAGAUUAUAUCGUCCUAAUUUAAAGUAUUUUGCACCUGUUAUAUGUGGAAACUGCACUCAAAACAUUAGUAUACUACCCAGUACUUCUACCUACGAUUCCCUUAAAAAGAUGGCUUUAUAAACUUGCCUCCAUAUUAUUUGAGCUAAAAGAGUUAAUCUCCAUUAAAGUAGGGUUUGUGAUGAGGCUGAAUGUGGUUUCAUCUAGAUUUCUCAUGUCUCCUCCAAACAUGAGAGGAGAUUUCGCCAUGGACCAUAGUGUCAUCUGCCAGAAUAAAGCAAUGAUGAUAAAGUUCCCACUGAAGCUUUAGUAUUAUAUACACUUCAACUUCUUCAGGAGCAGACAUACCUGAGUUCUUUGCUCAUCAAGAUUUAGAUUGCAUUUCCUGUGUGGACCAUCAUUUGCACCUAUUAAGAAGGGCAUACGAAAUUACUGUGAAUUUCUUUCUUUCUAGAUCCUUUACACAAGUAAUUGAACAAUUUCCAUAAUAUUUAGUCCUGAAAAAGAAAUUAUAUGACAUCAGCAUUUUCUGUAUCAAAACAUGAGAUGCAUGACCAAUGCAACAUCCUUGGCUUGAAAGCCUUGCAAAAAUUAUUAGGUGACUCCUCUAUCACCAAGAAGCUAAACAUGGAUCUUGAAGCUUGCACAACAUAAUUGGCCAAUGUGAUGGAUUCAGGAGAUCAUCCAGUGCAAUGAUUCGUUUCAUGGUUCUGUUACAGCAAGACUAGAUUAUUCUAAUUCAUCUCACUACUAUGGUCAUGGGGGAAGAGAUGGCACUAUUAGAAUGUAUAGUCAAGUGAACUAAAUGACUGUGGUGAUAAGUUUCUAGACAGCCUGUCUGCUAUCCAUGAGCUUGGCAAAAUUGUCUUAAAUUCAAUCAUAGUGACAGGACAAGCAUAUAUUUAAAAUAAAAUUGCAUCUUUAUAACAGCAAGAGUUCUUUCAAUCAGUCCUCAGAAAAUUUCUUAGAUGCUUUACCUGCAACAGUUAGCCAACCCAAAGGUAGCAUAUCCAAAUCCGGCCAUGACUUUCCCUUCAGACCAUUGGCUCCUAUCAUAUUAGCAGCUGCAAAAUCCCUGUUACAAACACAAGGAAAGAGCAAACAUGUACAAGCCAGAUUAGAGAAAGAAGCAGCAAAUGGAGAAUAGCAAACAUGUACAAGCCAGAUUAGAGAAAGAAGCAGCAAAUGGAGAAUUUAACUCAAUAAUUUGAAACGUUACAGAUGUUAAAAAAGAAAUGACCAUGACAACAAAAAGUAAAUAUUCUACCGUGAAACAUCAAAAUGGGAUGCAACAUCUCCCCAUGUAUCCCAGUCAUCCCCAGUUAUCCUAUACAUGUUGACUAGGCUGCUGACAUCCCUUGCCAUGCUUGGUGUUACACUAGUUCCGGGAGAUAACGAAUAUAGGAUGGGGCGAUUAAUUUCACUCAAAACCUGCACGCAUCGACUCAUUUUUGUAAGGACUUUACAAGGAAUGCUUUCAAUUGCAUGUGAUUAUCAGUAGAAGUUAAAUACUGUAUUCAGGGGAAAGGUGAUAUAACACCAAGCUCAAGCAUGAGAGAGGAGGAGGAGGAGAAAGAAUAAUGCAGCAUUUUGUACCUUUGAAACAAAACUUAUCUCAUCGAUGCUUAAAUCAUUACCAAACACACAAUCAUGUUUCACUGCAAGUAAAGAGAAGAAAAUCACAUUUAGUAACAGCAAAUAUUAUAUGGAAUUUUUAAUAAAAAUCUGUGAGACUUCCGCAAUUCCUUCCUAAAUGUAACAAGAGUUGUGGAUUUUUCUAUACAGACUUCAAGUUUUUGCUUUCAACAACUCAAAAUUAAUCAAAAAACCUCAUCAUACAUAAAAACCUCAAAAGUUAGUCAGCUUACUAUCUUCAAAAUGUCAAGAUCUUAUGAAGCAUUUACUAGAAAAAGCUCAGAAGUUAAAAUAAAUUCUUUUUUGCUAUUCUAAAGACGUCAGUGUUGAUAUUCAUCAAAACUUUGUGCUAGAGAAAGUGAUGCUAUUAGCCUUGACAUAUUCAGAUUACCAAAAUCAACACCCCAUGCUGCAUACUGAUGGUACAGUGACCUGAGAAAUGCUCUUCCAGCUCCCAACUUUGUAUCUACGCUCAUGAAACCAUUGCGCAUCCAUUGACAACUCAACGCUUUAAUGCCUAUAUCUUUUGCAUACCACUUUCGGCCUGACUCUUCGUAAGCCUUGCCCUAAAAUACAGGAUAAGGAGAAUAUAAUCAGUUGUCUGCAAACUAAUCUUGGCAUUUAUAUUCCCCCCACAUUAAAGGAAAGUAUUUUAUUACGAGUUUUAUAAAUGCAGCACAUUCCAAAUGUAGUAGCAUAAAAAAAGGAUAACCUUAUGGCUAAAGAGUAAGGACUAAGGAGGCUACCGUAUUAAUAUCCAAAAUAGGGGUGUUGGCGUUGAAUGCCUGUGUACUUAUGCCUCUCAUGACAUGGAUCCCGAACUUCAAUCCCAGGUCAUGAACUCUGUUGGCUAUCUGUGUGAACCCUUUCCCUUCUUUGGAGGAAGGCCAUCUUUCUGGGUCAGGAAUCAUCCUUCCCCACUCAUCAAUUACAUCAAAUCCAAGAGAAUCAACAGAAGCACCUUUCACUUUCCUUCUAUACCAAAGAUAAUCCACCACAACAUACUGCAAAGAGAAACAAAAUCCAAAAGAUGAGAUUAGCUCAUCACAGAAAGAGAAACCGAUUAGCUCCGAUAUCUUCAAGCAAUUCAUCAUAUACUACGUAAAAUUGUCAGUAAAAUAUGUUCUUGGGACCUCAUAUCCAUGAGAAUGCAAUCGCUGAGCAACAAGUUCCGCAUUUUGGAGAAAUUCUUCCUCGGAGAUGGUCCAACAAAAGGAGUCAUAGGAAUUCCAGCCUCUCGGGGGGCAGCCAGCUCGCACUUCCGAUUCACUCAGAGAUGGUCUCUUUGACAUUCCCCUGACCAUGAUCAUUAAUAGUAUGAGCUAGUAACCACUGUUUACAAAGAACCAAAGUCACAUAUACGAAUGAGCAUCGAGCAUGUGUUGGUCAUCAUCGUUCUAGAACGACCUAUUGAUCACAUAUAUGCGGCUACUGUAGAGGAAAAUCAACCAGUUACUAAGAGUAUCUGAAUUCUUGAGUAUCCGUGAGUUGUUUCGCUUAGUUAUGCAUAAAUACAUCCAGUCUCUGACAAAAGUCAUUAGUUUAGCUCAAAACCACGCACCGCACCCUAAGUCCUAACCCCUACGCACAAGACAAGUUAACAUGAAUGACACCAUACAAGUAGGAGAAUUGUGGAGUUUAGUGUCAGUAUUUCAAUGCAAGAAUUCACCACAGAAGAAGGAACAGAAAAAGGCCGGCCUUGGGGCAUUUAAUUGCUUGAAGAAAAUUUUCUACUCCCACGAGAUGAGAUUAGACGAGCUGCAACUGAUUUGAAGGAGGAUCAGAAGUACCUUUGAAGGGAAUCACAGAAGGCGAAAAACACAACAAUCAGAGCUAAAAUCUGCAUCUUGACUCCUCUGGUGCUAGGUGAAUUUCAAAAGAUGACGCUGAAGAAAGAGAGAAUGGUGAAUAAAUGUGAAUUCAGUCUUCUUAUCUUAUCUAUAUAUGCGUGUAAAGAUGAAUGGAGCUUGAUAGGAUGCAAAGCUUUUACUGUUAGUAAAACUCGCAGUCAGAUAACAAGUUAGUUCCACCAACUCUGCUUCAGUAGUGAUGGAUUAUGAUGAAUCAAUCAUCAUGCUGAUACAUGACACGGAUUAACGGCUUAAUGACACGUAAUUUAUAGCUGGAUAGUGACAAGUGUGCGCCACAGGGUCUUGAAAUUGAGAGAUGUCCCGUGAAUCACUGUCGUCCAUUUAGGCUUUGGUCUCGGAAUUUAUAGCUAGCGAGUCACCAGCUGUUCGGGAGCGUACAAGCAUUGUUGUUGUAUUGUACUCCGAUACCUAGUAAAACAUUUUUUUAGUUUCAAGCUAUACUAUACUACUACUAUUAAGGAUGUUUGGUUUCAAGCUAUACUACUACUAUUAAGGAUAAUAAUCCUCAGCCAUGCAUUAUUGGUUUUGAUAGAACUAGAAGCCUUCUUAUGUUUAAUGUUUAAUCUUCAGCCUUGUAAUAUAUAAUCUCAAUGACACAACUCUCUUAUCUUUCUCAAAGACGGAUUCUUUGGCUGUCGUUUAGUACACACAGAGGAUACAAGUCUAGAAAUUACAUAAACAUAUGCUGAUUUCCAUCCGCUGGGUCAAAGGAGGGAGGAGAGGAAUCGCAUAUUGACAGCGUUAAAGGGGAUAGCUUUUUGCCUGGAGGAAUCAUCAUGUGAUUUAUCGUAAUUAACUCCAUCUACCAUUCCCCUCGCCACGGAUUUUUUUUUUUCUUUCUUUUUUUUAAACAAAAAAAAAAAAAAAAAAAAAAAAACACAGAGGGCAUAGUUUUGGUGUUCCAGUUCCACUUGUCUCGUUAAUAAGCAGUAGUUAGAACAUCUCUUUAGAAUGAAAACCAAUAGUUAUAUCAGCAAUGAACAUUGGUCAGCUUGUGAGGAAAGGAAAAAUAACGACAGAGAAUAAUGACACUGGACCCGUCGAGUUGCUUACAAAUUCAGGCGUCUGGUGGGGUUUUUGCUUAUGGAAAUAUCGAAUGUAGGAACUUACCCGCGUCGGACUUUGCAUAAGUUUCUUGUUGUCCAUAUACAUAUAAUACAGGUAAAAGACGCAAGGAAAUGAAUGGCAACAGAGACAAUGGUGCAGUCUUCCUUAUGAAGGAAGAUUACUUCAUAAGGAAAUCUGGACCAAUUUAACCACAAAUCAAUCGCGUGCAGUGGACUUGAGCAAAACUACAAAAGCUACAAAAGUUUGCAUGGUGGAGUUUUGACCCGACUGGCAACCAGCAGAAGCCACUUAAAAACACCACGUGUUAAAUAGAAAUAGAGCAGAUUAUUAUCACUGUCGGGUAAAAAAAAAAAAAGAAUAGAAAUAGAGCAGGUGCUUUCGAGUUAUUGAAUGCCAAGUAUACCUUUUCUUUUCUUUUUUUGAAAUAUGAGAUUUCAUGUACCAGAAUAAAAAAAAAACUAAUAUACAUCACAUCGUUGCUCAAUUCAAUGAAGAGGUCCAAUAUUAAGAUGCAAAACUGUUGUAUUCUCUUCAAGGAAGAGCACCAGGCCAUGCAAAUAGUUGCGAGGCUGCUCCAUGCCAGCCACUUGCAAGCCUGCACUUCACAAACUUUCCAUCUCCAUCUCCAAGCAGACCUCAGAAUCCCCAAGAUUGUUUCCACCAUGCAAGUUCAGAUUCUCCAGGUCUCUUGAGUGCAGAACAGCUUGGACAACUUUCCAAAGUUCAGAUUCUCCAGGUCUCUUGAGUGCAGAACAGCUUGGACAACUUUCCAAGGGCAUGACUGCAACUUUACCAAAGAGACUCUUCCAAUGAAAUUCCUAGUGUUUACCUUCACUAUACAAGUUAUCACAAUCAGGCUUUACACAUACAAGGUGUUAGAGGGUUCUCCCAGAUGUCAUAAUUAGGAAAGGUUUCUUCAGGUAAUCCUGUUCGAGUCUGAUGGGUAACCACCACGUCUUCCACAAAGGUCGCCCAGCCCAUGUAUGGGUCGCCUAAUGAUUUGGACAUCAGUCCCUUGUCUGGUUUAAUGGAUUUCAGACGGUGACCCAUGUAACGACGAUAUCCAAUUAUCAAUUUAGCAAAGUUUCCUCCAUGGGUCAUGACAAACACAUCAGACUUCAAGCAGACCAAGAAAUCAAGGGCGGCCAGACUAGUGACAUGCUUCCUGAAGCCAUCCAACUCCGCUUUGGUUGCCAAUUCCUCCUUUGCUACCUGUUAUACAUCCUUUAACAAUUACUAUAUCAACUAUAAGAAAACAAAAAUGACAAGUGAACUAGGAUACGUAGGUGAGCAAACAUAAUUCACAACCCCACAAAGAACACUGCUCGUCUUGUGCCAAUCGAAAGUAAUAGAAAAACCACGCUCAAGACUUCAGAUGACAGCAAAGCCCAUAAAAUUAGUUAAGCCCCAGUCAAUUAACAUCCCAUAUUUCUAUUUACACUUUCUUUCAACUCUCUUAUCUUCUAUAAACAUAAUACAACGGAAAUAGCUACUAAGUAGUUCACACUAAAAGCCCUUCCAAAAGGUUGACCUUCAUAUAGAUAUUUGAAUAUAGGAUCUUAAAUUACUAGAAGGUUCCCUUCUGGCUACUCAGAUUAAAUUAUCUUCCUGCCCAUAAUUACCAAAAUCAUGAAACACCAUGCAUCAAAAGACUAAUUCAACAACGAUCACCUGAAAGGGUUCUCAAGGACAAUAUAUCACCGAGUACCGAAAAAGUUGAUUUUGGUCAUUAGACCAAAACAAGUGUCAAAAUCUAUUACUACGAGUGUUAAACCUAUUAGCACCAAACACAACUCAAAGCAUACGAAUUUUUUGUUGUAUGCAGAAGAACAAUCAUACUGAAUUCAUGUAUUCAGCAUACACACACGAGGUUAAAUGAUUUCCUUCUUUUUUUUUUUUGAUCGAAAGGUUAAAAUGUAUCUUGUUUCAUCAUUCAUUUGUGGAUAGAAUGCUUAGGUUAGAGACAUGACACGAAAAGAACAACAACAAAAACAACGUUCCUAGGAACAAUAAGUGAAUCAAAACUGAGCAAGUGGCCUUACGAGAUUUGGGAACAUAUUCCUAAGGGGAGCCAUGCGGUUUUGUCCACCAUAAACCUGUCCUGAAGCAACAUAUAUCUGGGUUUCUUUCGGAUAACCCAUUGCUCGAAGCAUGACUGCCACUUCACCAGGCUCAAGGGGGCACCGACCUUCCUUCCGCUUCUGAAGAGCUAGAGCCCAUAGAUGAGAGCCGUCCUGCCAGAAAACAAACAGAUUAUCAAAUUUAUGUUGUUAAAUUUUUUCUCUUUGUUGUAUGGCAAUUAUGAUGAACUGAACCUUAAAACGUCGAGGCCAUUCUUUCAGUCUGUACAAAGCCAUGAGAGCUUUCUCUGCCCUUGUUCCCACAAAAUCACAGAAUGAAAGGCCUACCAUCCCUUUCUCAAACCUCAGAUGAAGAGCCCUGUUUGGGAAAAAAAAAAAAUUCAAGCCUCACAAUGGAAAGGAAAAAAGAGGAGAUAAAACUACAUUGUCCAAAUUAUGUACAUGAAAGGAUUUGAACUGGCGGUGCGAUUUUUCAUCCUUGAUACAAGUUGAUCAGCCAUUUGCUCAAUCUCAGGCAGAAAUUUGAGCGCAUGAUAAUUUACCCUGCACCUUAGUCUGUUUAUUUCUGGGGGAACAUUAUCAUAUCUGAAUGGAAAACUAAAUAGUUAGUAUUUAUGAUAUAUUUAAACCUGCCAAUUAGUCAAACCGAUUAAAGAAAUACCAAUAAUUGACAUUCAUUCCUCACCCAAGUCGAUCAACGAAAGGCUUUAAGGACAUUAUCUUCUUCUCCUUAAUCCGGGGUAGAACAUUGUCAAUAUAGAAUUGCGCUGGAGCAUACUUGGGGAUGUUCUUCACUGUCCGUCUAUCAAUUAUAGUACAUGAGCAGAAACAAAUAAACCAUGUAGGACACAUCAAUCCAAUUAAAAUUUCCAACAUAGACCAAAUUAAGCAGGUAUUUUAAAAUUUUAAGAUGGCUAUAAGUAGGAGAGACCUUCCCAUGUCUGAGUUCUGACCCAAAAAAGUUUGCACAAUCUUAUGAACACUGGGGAAAAGGAGUACAUUUAAUUUUUAGUGACUAAUGACAGUUUCACCAAAUUGGUUAAAAAUUAGCAUGUCUAUAUGUUGAAAAGAAGGUCAUGAUGAGUUGCUAAAACCUUUAACCAGAGAUUCACAAGUCAAAACUGUGGUUUGUAAUAAGAGUACUAAAAAAGAGAAAACAUAGAAUAGUAGACCUUAUGCUGGUGAACAGCUCUGAUUUGUCAGUAAACCAUCCAGGAAUGUCACGAACAAUUCGUACGUCAUCCCUUAAGUAGUCAAUAAAAUGGUCGACAUCAAAUAUGUCUUCAAAUUUUCUGCAGAGGAUAAAUGACUGAAUAAGUACCUAGAGGUUUUCAGUACUUUUAAUAGCAAUGAUCAAGCUCAACCGACAUUAAGAAAUAAAUUAGCUAUUGCAGUGAGAAGGUACUAGAGACAGAGAGAGAGAUCUGCCAACUGAUACAAAGACGACAAGGAUGUGUUGUAUAAAAAAGCAUGUACUUUCGAGUUGCAUGCGUGCAUAUCAAUGAAACAAACAAAACCCUUGCACAUAUCAGAUGGUGUAUACUCCAUGUAAUUCAGAGUUCAAGUUUUUAGCACAAAAUUAGGUCUAAAAUUUGCAGAACCAACAACAGUUAAAAUAUUUAACAAUGAAGCAUGCUUUACUGGGUAACUGAAAUAAGCUCAGGUCCCGGUCAAGGUGGUGAAGCAGAGAACUUGAAUGUUAACGAUAACAGCAAAAUAGGUGAUACAGAAGAUGUGGAAGAGUGCAUGUCAACAUUCCCUUGGCUGAAUAGCAGCCUCAUUUUCUGUAACAUACAGUACACAGUGUAUAGCAUUUUCAUGAAAGCUUCACUCACGUCUGGUCCUUCCAUAUCUGAUCUUGUUUCAACACUGGCAAAAUAAGAGUGGCGUUCAUUAUCUUCGCAACAGCCACAGCAUUGCAAAUCUGACCCCAAAAACAAAAAAGUAAGAAUGAGUUUAUGUAUUGAGUGAAUGCCUGAGCAGUGGCACUUAUAGAUAGGAGCCUAUAAACAAUGUGUAUCCUUUGGGGGGGAACCUGGAAAAUAGCAGCUUCAAAGAAGGUUCAAUACUUUGAAUGGAACUUCACCGACAAAAAGAGGAUGAAAAGCAAGGGGAGAAAUUGAGAAGUGUAAGUUAGGAAACAGGUAAUGGAUCAGACACGCAAAUGCUAACAAUUGCCCUGCCACACGGUCAAGUAGAACUGGAAAGAAGUUUAUGAAAACGCUUGGAUAAAAUGUGCAUGACUGGAUACAAGAAAGAUGAAAUCAGACACAUCGUUGCAUUGGUGUUUUUUUAUAUGUCAGGACUUAGGAUUAUAUUAGGACUCGUUCAACAGGCCCUCGUAUAUUAUAUUAUCAUUAGUUAUCUCCUCAGCGGGAAUAUCUAACAAAGAGCAAAGUAUAGGUAGUCAGAUACAAUGAAGAAAACUUUGCCAUCAAGUUAAAAAUGCAAGAAGAUAAGACUAUAAAAUUAGUGAACACAAAUCCUUCUUCUCAUUCAUGGCCGAGUUAUUGCAGAUUUAAAAAAAAAAUUAAAAUAGGAAGAAUUGAAAAAAAAAAAAAAAGAAGCAAGCAAGAGAUUACAGAAUUUCAGAGAAAAGAAGUGAUGACAUUGUCUUUUCUUUCGAAAUUUCUCCCCAAAAACUUCACUAUACAAGUUAAUAGUUUCAUUUCUUCAUAUGCAGACUACAUGAAGCAAACACUUUCCUGUUUCCAAUUAUUCGAUAGUUGAUGGAACCAUGCACUAUGAAGAGAAGGCCAAAGGCCCAAAGCACAUGGAAAUUAGUAGGAAAUAGAAGCCAAGUUGCAGAAAUCAAAAUUUUUGGCUCUAUCUAUCAAAAAUAAUACCAUACAAGUUUAUGGAACAACUUCAUCGGUAAAUGAAAAUUUGCCCAUUCCAGAAAAAUUUUUAAAGUAAAAAAAAGGAAUUUUACACUUCUGUUUCAUGUAUAAUGCUGGUCCUAACCAUAUGGAAAAGUCAUUGUACCAAUCGUCUUAACUAAUUUAAACACAACAUUAUUACAUCAUUAGUCUUGUUACCAACUUCAGUCUAGUAUAAAAUCAUUUCUUAUUAGUUGAUAGGCAACAAAUAUUUGGGCAUACCAGAGUUCAGAUAACAAUUAACAGCAAAUGUCAAGUAUAGAAUUUAGCCUUUUGACAAUAUACAUUCCAAUAUCUUUUGUAUGACACUUACUGCAUAUUAUCAUUAUUGGUGUUCACCACCACGUAGUUUACAUAACAGAAUGAAAUUAGUAGUUUUUUGAGUACUGUAAACUUUAUGUGAGGUAAUUGGUUCAUAUAUGAGUGGCUUCAAGAUAGGAUUUUAAUUUUGCUUCAUACAGUUUAUAGCUUAAUAAACUUCAAAAUAAAAAAGAUCACAGCAGCCAAAUUAUAAAAAAGUAAGCAUUCACGCUCAGCAUCACAUAAAUGGGCAAUAUAAUGCAAAUCAGUGACAGUUUUGGAGUACCAGAAAUUAUGCCCACACGUCGCUCAGCACAUGGCUUCCAUGAAGUGGUAGCUGAAUAUGGAUUCUCCCAUAGUGAAGGAUGCUCCUUUACCUAAUUGAAAUGAGAUGAAUCAUACAACCAAUAUCAUUAUAUUGGUCAUUUAAGAAAAAAUGAAACAUGAAAAAGUACAGAAGCAUUUCUUUAAGCACUUACCCGUGGACAGUGGAGUACUAUGCCAUCUUUCUUGCACAGAUAUGGAGCAUUCUACAAUUCAUGAAAACAAUAUUAAAGAGGGGAAUCCCAAAUAAGCUUAAGAAUUUUCUUCGAAGAGAAGAAUGUUAAAUAAAUUUUAUGAGCAACUCAUCAAUAGUCCUCUAUUACAGGGUCUCACAUAGAAUGCCAAAAGUGCCACAGAAAAAGAAACUAAAUUUUGUAAAAAGCAAAAAGAAAAGGAAAAAAGAAGAAGAAACAACUUCCUACUCGUCAAGAAGUGCUGUAUACUAUGCAUGCAUUGAAGCAGAAAAAAAAAAUAGUAAAGAGUUUUAGAGUGAGAAAUUAAGUCAAAGCAAUGCUUUACUUAAAAUAAAGGAGAAUAUAAGAGUUCAUUAAAGUCAAAGAAAGAAUGCACAAUUUAGGAUAAACCGUGACAAACAGAUGCAUAUCAUCAUGUUUGUCCAAUAAGCACAAGAAAACAUCCCAUAGGGCACGAAACCUUGUUGUCAUAAUAUUUUUACCUAUUUAGUUAAUAACAAACUCUACCAUUUGAGUAAAAAGGCAGGCACAAGAAAUGCAACAAACACACUUUAUACAUAGUAUAUUCUACUUGUUAAAUAAGAUUAUACUAGCCAAACUGGCAUCUUCUGUGAGGCUUCACACCACUUUAACCCAAAUGUCAAGCAUCGGAUAUCAAGACAGCCCUUUUUUUUUAUCAGAGAUUGUAUAUGAUAGGCAUGUGACCUAAUUAAGCUAUUAUUUUUGCACAGCCCAAAUAUAACUGCACUUUUCUAUUAGCAUUCUCAACAAAAGCCGCAGCAAUUGUCAUAUACCCUUAUAGUCAAACUCAAAGCCUAAUUUCUGAGGCUAUAUUCACCAAACAAACUACCAUAAUAGGAUCUCCUCUAUCCAAGAAUAAGCACAGACAGCUCUGAUGUAAUUCUUCUCCAUGAUCUUCGAUGUAGAUUAACAAGAUUAGGGUUCAUUGUAUAAUGGACAGAAACGAUACAAUCACAAAAUAUUCUAAAAUAGAUAAUUCAUUUUCCUAGCCAGUUUCUACGCAAGGGAGGGAAUUUCCAAGUUAUCACUGCAACCCAUAAGGUGUCUUUUUCAUGUAAGUACCUCCACACCCAAGAGAACAAUAUGAGCAUCAAAAGUUAAGCCUAUAAGACUCUAGGUAUUGAGCUCCAAUAAUACUCCAUCCCCUCCACCCCCCCCCCCUUCUCACUCCACUCUACCCCGGAUAACAUGAUGAUCAAUAAACAUAAACGACUCCUCAAACAAUAAAGGCCCGAGAAAAAAACCACCCCCAGCUAAUCCAUAACAAAAAAUCACCAAUGUAACUAUUUUACUUAUCAGAAGUCUCAAAAUUUCCAACAGAAACAACAUUAAAAAUCGAAACUUCGUACACCUAACUCAAAAACUUAAGCACUUUUAUGUAUAAUCAAAAAGAGAAGCCAGAAAUUCUGCCAAAGGUUUAGCUAAACAGCAAGUGCUCACCAAUCGAUUGACAAUUGAAGAAACUGAAAUAAUUGCGGCGAGGAAAAUCAAACAAAGCACGAAAACCGAGAUCUUGGAAUUGUGAGUAUGGAGCCUAGCGUCGUCGGUGAAGGAGAAGGGGAAGAGAGAGUGCAAGUGCCCGGCGGAGAAGAAAGAGCGGAGGCCGCCGCGAUCUCGAGUAUGACGACUACGAUUGUCGUCGGAGGAAGAGGAGGUGGGAAUAUUAUCGGGAGACAGUGGGGAGGAAGCCACAGCGACAUCGUCCCGUUUCCUUGGUGACGCUGACGCCGCUCGGCUUCCCAUCGAACUUGAGUGCCGGAGCUCCGCCAUUACUAGCUUCGGACUGUACGCCAGCUUAGCCGCUGCCGCCCUUUUAUUAUUAUUAUUAUUAUUAUUAUUGAAAAUAAAAAUAAAAUUAGCUAAAAUCGCUGGUUUCCUCUUUGACGCAUCAUCUUCUGUGACUAGACUGCGCUGACUGUAGACGUCUGGUGCAGAAGAAUGGGGGAAGUGACUUCAGAUCGGGUUUUUAAGUUUAAUCCCCCACACAACGCACUGCAUUUGAGCCUCUCCUUUCUUUUGUUACAUUUUUUCUUUAAUAAUCCUCUUUAUUAAUGGUUAAUAGCACUAUCCGCCCUUUAAGUUUGUUAUAUUUGUAAAUGCUUACGCUGUACAGUUCUUAAAAUUACACACAUUUUUUGUUAACCAACUUCUUAUUUAGUAAUUUCAGCUCCCUCUCUUCUUUUUUUUUUUAAAAAUUAUUAUUUAACUGGUAGUAACACUAACAUGUUAGGGAAGGAAAGAUGAAAGGAAGCCAUUGUAGCUUUAAAAGCUUGCAAUUGUAGUCCGAGAGAGAGAGAGAGACAUACCAUCGUCAUAAGGGAAUUUUAGCAAAUAUUAAAGAAAAUUAAUUUAGAGUAUGUUUGAUGAAACUGAAAUAUGAAAUUUUGAUUCAUUAAAUUAUUGAAUAGUAAACACUCAUUUGAGUGAUAAGUGAAAAUAAUUUGUACUUAUUUUUUGAAAUAAAUGUUACCUACACAAUUCGAACUCACUGAGUCAAUUAAUAUGCUCUAUUUUGUUUUACUACAAGCACAUCUAAACAUGUUAUGAUUUGAAUUUAUUAAAAUUUAAGUACUAAAUUGAGUUAUUAUCAAAUAGGGCUUUAGUUUAUCUCUUUUUUCUUUCCAAAUGGUCAAAAUGCUUUGAGAGACCUUUGCUUUCUAAAAAUAGCAUUCAACAUACUAACUAAUAAGCAUGUGUAGUUUAUGGAAACUUUUAAGGAUGACCUUUUUUAUUGGUGAUACGAUGGUUUAGCCGAAAAAUGUCAAAAUUGUUUGGUGGGAUUGAUAUUAUUGGAGUUGGUUUGAUUGAUUACUCAAUGCUCCGUAGCUACUACUUUUUAAGUAAUCCCAAAUUCUCAAAACUCACACAAAGUGGCAUAAAAAUGUCACUAGAAACGCCACGAAAAUGCUAAGCAUCUCCUCUCUCCUUUUUUUUUUUUUUUUUCCCAUUUAGCAAAGUGUCUCCUUCUUUGAGCUGCUGUACUAGAAAAAACGAAAAACAUGUAAAAACAAAAUUUGAUUUCAAUGGUUAAAGAAAGAUGUCAUAGGUAGGUAAUGUUUGCCAAUCCUCCCAUUUGAUUGAAUUGAGGUAAAUCUCAUGCUGCAUAGAUUAUACUUUAUAGACUGUUUGUGCAGUGCGUAUCAAAGCCCAUUAUUAUAUUUAUAGAUAUAAUAAUUCGUACAAAGCCCAUUAAAAUUUCUAGGGAAGUACAACUAUUAAAUGGUGAUGUUGCAGACUUGGCCACAGGCCAAAUUUUACCCAAGUCCCCAUUUUUGAAGUGCAAAAGCCGAAGUAGAGAAAUCAGAAAAGAAAAAUUGUAUCAAUGUUUAAUAUAAUUUCUGUUGUUAGUCGAGAUUUUAAUAAACUGAGGAUGUUUUAUUAAAAAGGAAAAGAAAAAGAAAAAUUUGUCUUUUAACUAUAUAUUACUUCACUCUUUAAAAAAAAAAAAAAAAAAAAAAACUGGCUCCGUUUGGAUUAGCUGUUUUUGGUUUGUUUUUCAAAAACACCACUGUAGCAUUUUGAAUCUGAAAAACAAGUCCGUUUGGAUUAGUUGUUUUUGGGUUGUUUUUUCAAAAACUAUAUGAAAAACUUUUACUGUAGAUUUUUUGGGAUUAUUUUUAGAGGUAUUUUUGAAACAUAUUUUUGAGUUUUUAGAAUAUUUAUAAUUUUUAUAUUUUAUUAUAUAAAUAUACAUUUAAUGCAUUUUAUAAUACAUUUAUAGAUUUUAUAAAUAAAUAUAUUUAUAUAUUCAUAUAAAAAUAUAUAAAUGUAUUAUAUUAUAUAUAAUACAGUAAUAUAAAUAUAUUUUAUAAAAUGUAUAAGUGUAAUUAUUAUACAUGUAGAAAUUAUAAUGAAUAUUUAUAAAAUAUAUUAUAAAUUAUAAGUGUAUAUUAUUAUUAAAUGUAUAAAUGUAGUAUAUAUUAUAAAGUAUAAUAUUAAUAUUAUGUAGAAAUGUAUUUAUAUAAUUAAUAUAAAUGUAUAUAUGUAUUGAUAUUAUGUAUAAAUGUAAAAUUAAUAUUAUGUAUAUUAAUAUAAAUGUAUAAAUGUAUUAUAUUAUAUAUAAUACAUAAUAUAAAUGUAUAUUUAAAUGUAUAAGUGUAUAUUAUUAAAAAUGUAUAAAUUAUAAAUGAAUAUUAUAUAAAGGUAUAAAUUAUUAAAUUAUAAAUAUAUAUUAAUAUUAUGUAGAAAUGUAUUAAUAUAAUUAAUAUAAAUAUAUACAUGUAUUAAUAUUAUGUAUAAAUGUAAAAUUAAUAUUAUGUAUAUUAAUAUAAAUAUAUAAAUGUAUUAUAUUAUAUAUUAUACAUAAUAUAAAUGUAUAUUAUAAAUAUACAUAAAUAUUUAUAUAUUAUGUAUAAAUGUACAUUUAUAUAAAAGUAUAAUAUUUUAUAUAUUAUAUUAUAUAUAAUUUAUAUAACAUAUAAUAUUUACGUAAAUAUAUUAUAAAUAUAUAAAAAUAUAUUAUAAAUAAAAUAAAAUAUUUAUAAUAUGUAUGUAUAAAUAUAUAAUAUUAGAAAUGUAUAAUAUAUAUAAUAUACAUUAUUAUUAAUAUAAUUUAUGUAUAAUAUACAUAAUUGAAAUAUAUUAAUAUAUAUUAAUAUAUAUUAUAAAACAAAAUUUGAAUAAAUAUAUUUAUAAAUUUAUAUAUAAAUAAAUGUAUUUAUAUAAAUAUAUAAUAUUUAUUUCAAUUGAUAUAAUAUAUAUAAUAUUAUACAUAAUUGAAAUAAAUAUAUUUAUAUUAAUAUAAUAUAUAUAAUAUACAUAAUUGAAAUAUACAUAUUAAAAUAUAUUAAAAUAUAAUUGAAAUAUACAUAUUAAAAUACAUAAUUAAAAUAUACAAAUUGAAAUAUACUUAUUAAAAUAUACAAAUUAAAUAUACAUAAUUGAAAUAUAUUUGGAGUUGUUUUUGAUAUAUUGUUUGGAUAUGAUGUUUUUGAAGUUAUUUUUGAAAUACACAUUACUGUAGCAUUUGGAAUGUGAAAAACAGUUUUUAAAAAACAGGUGCAAAAACACCCAACUAGCGCUUUACCAUGGUUAAAGCAGGAGUCGAAGGGGUUUCUACUAAAAUCACUUCUUCAGUCUCUAGCAGGGGUUUAAGCUUUUGUAUGCUGCUGACGAAGGCCCGGCCGCGGAGAAGUGAAGGACGGAGGAGGAGGAGGGGAGCUCUUUUCGUUACAAAAAUUUGCCUGUACAGCCCACAUUAGAAGGAGAUCAGCAGUUGCAUGGGAGGAUGGAAACCACAAGGCUCCGAUUGGAGUUCACAGAUAAAGAGGGCAUUUUGAGCCAGUCCCAAAUAUCAGAGGGGCUUCAACAGUGCUGGCUUCUCCUUAAACCCCACCACCACAGAACCAUCGCUGACCUCGCUGCUUACAUUCUUCACGCUUUUCAACUUCAACCCUCUUGCCCUCAUGGCCUCCUCCUCUACGUAUGUAUCUAAUUCUUGCCCUAUCUUUGCAAUAAAAACUGCAACGUUAGGGUGUAAAUAUACCCCUUUGUUAAAGAAAAAAUGCAAUCUUUGCUAACGUGUAUGUGGCCUAGUGGUUUGGAAUUGUCAACGUGAUCAAAGGGUUUGUCUCCUUUUUCUGACGAUUCAGCAAAGCAGUUAAAUUGGUUUUCUGUUUCCGACUCUGUUUUUGAAUUUUUUUUAUGGAGUGUAAGAGACCUGAUUAACCCAACUUCACUGGAUUUAGGGUAUGAAUUGUUCUUUUUAAGUUGAUAGAUUUUUGAAAGUUUGGCAAUAAUAAAGAUCAUGACUUUCUCUCCAAUUUGUGGUACUUUGUUUAGUUGUAAUUGUGCCUACGGUGUAUUCGUUGCUGGAUUGAUGCUGUAUUUUCCUUGCUUGUAGAUGGAUGGCUACGUGUUACCAGGUUUUGAAUCGACUACCAUUUUGAAGGAUAAAGAUGUAAUCAGGUUAGGGCUAAGCAUUCACUCUUAGUCUUAAUCCUUAUUAAUUUCAAGGUUGAAUUUAUGUUACCCAUAAAUAAGUUAACAAGUUGGUAGAUGAAAGGAUGACAGAUGUUUUCUGUAUUUGAUCUGUUGUUAAUAGUGUAAGGAAGAAAGGGCUCACCUUGGCUAUUCGGGGAACCAAUCCAAUCAAUUUAGUUGCAGAAAUGGAAGCUGUGGAGCAGCAACCUGUAAAUACUGGAGCACUGCUUUUAGCAAAUGAGGAAUUCGAGAAGGAAACUGGAGGUUAUCAGAGUGAUGAGCCUGAAGAUGAAUCCGAAGGUGCGGAGGGGGAUGAUAAAGAGGAAGCUAGAGAUGUAACUGAAGAGGCUGAGGAUGAGGUCAGGGAAGAGCAGUUGGAAAAUUCUUUACAUAAUCCAUCGCAAGAAAAUGCAACUUCGAAGAAAAGGAAAGCUUCGGAAAAACUGCAGGGGUCAAAGUACGUUGUUGCUUCUUUAUGCUGUAUUUGGAUAACUUAUGCUUGGAGUCAAGCUUCAAUCUCUAACUGAAAUGGUCGCUUCAAUCUCUAACUAAAAUGGUCGCCGACCCUUUUCUUUUCUUAUCCUACAUAAAUUCCAGAAAGAAGAAACUACGUGCAGAGCGUCAGUGUAGGGUUGACAAUGCUGGUCCAGCAGAGCAAAUUGAAAAUUGUCAGCAAGAUGGUGUCCAUGCAGCAAAGGAGAGUACUCACAAACAGAAAAAGGUACCUGAGAUCAAGAAGAAAAAUGAAAGUGAUAUUGCUGAACAAGGUGAUGGAAGUAUUGUGGCUUCACCAAAUAUGAAGAGGUAUAUAUGACAUAAGACCAUUGUUUUUGAUGUUUUGAUUCCAUAUUAGUUUCAUUAAUCAAUUUCUUUAAGACCAUUGUUUUUUAUGUUUUUGCAGUGGUAUCUCAAAUGAGCUAAGCUGAAUUGACUAAGUUGUAUUUUUUUUUGGCGGGACACUCAUAAACAUCUUGGUCAUAUUUAUCUAUACUUUCCUGAGAGCUGUGUAUGUUAAAUUUUGGAGUUCUUAUCAUAAUCAAUAUUUUGAGGCAGUACUUCGCUGCACAAGCCUAUUUUAGCAGGAAGAUAGAACCUUUUCUUCUAGUAGGCAACUUAGACUUGGAGAAGUCUCGUUCUCGUUAUGGCCUCCUAGGGAGAGGCAUAUUGUUCUCUGUCCUCCUUUCUAACUCUUUCAGUGAUACAUCCGUAUUAUAUACUACAUUUCUUGAAGUACUCAAACAUCUAGAUGGUAUCUUGCUGACAAUAAUUUAAUCUGAUUUUGCAGCAGUGACCCGACUCAAAAAAAUGGAGAGGAGACUGAAAAAGUAUCUGGGGGAACAAAGAAGGUUUGCAAUCAUUGCUUGUUACUGAUAUUUGAACACUUAAUGUAUUGUUGUCUGCCUGAAUUACAUGCAUUGUCUCCUGCCAGUAUUUGUACUUCAAAAUUCAAACUGAAGAAUGCCUGUGGUGGACAGCUUUUUAGAAUUGUGACUGAAUGAAUUAUGGCUAUCACUGAUUUCUCUGAUGAUUUAAUCUGUAGAAAUGGACUUUUAAACAGAGGUAAAAAAAAAAAGAAAGUAAAAGAAAGGUAGAAAAGACAGUAAACAUCUACAACCUGUUCUGGAAGUGAGACAUCUGAAUUAUUAUCUGAGAUGAUUGAAGUAAAGUGCUGCAAGGACACAGCAUUGUACUGCUCUAAACUUUACGCUGCUUGCAGAGCUUUUGCUUGCUUUGUCUUCAAUAUUGCCUUAGAUUUCAUACAAUUUGUUUUGCAGCUCCCUAGCAGAAGUGCAAGGCGCAAAAAAGCUAAGAGGCGGUGGAUACGUGAAAUGGCCAAAAUUCAGAAGAAAGAUACCAUUUCUCAACCUAAGGAAAUUGUGAGUGGUCAGACAUGUACAUUAUUGUGCCUCUCUGACUUCCAGAAUUGGUUGUAAAGAACCACUUGCUGAAUUUUGCAGCAAAAUUGGAAAAAGAAACCAGUUAGAGCUGAAGUGAAGAAGUACAACAACUGGAAACAGAGACCAGCCAAACCUGAUGUAAAAGAAGAUGAUGGCCAACCAAAGGGACUGGUGAGUGAUUAAAGAUUCAUAUCCUCUUUGUUGCUCAAAACAUGAAUUCUUUUUCUGAUGCAAUUUCUGAUAUGUAGCUAUACUGGAAGCAGUGGUCUGGAAAAGAUACAAAUACUGAUAAGAGAAAACAUGGAGAGGCAACUCAAAAUGGCAGUGCAUCUGAGCAAUCAAAUCAGAAGAAAAGCUUGGAUGACGAAGUUGUUCCGAUUGUAAUUAGGCCUGGGCACAUCCGCUUUGAGCCUCUAGAGAAUGGUUGGACGCAUGCUUGUGUUUUUAUAUUUCUUUGAAUUGAUGUUACUUUUAUUCUCUUUCUUUUGGCUGUAUGGCGAAACCAUGCAAAUAAGUUGCAAUGUAUGUCUUCACGUGGGAAUACCAUUCUUAAGUUUGCUUUUUUAUUGUAAAAUCUAUGGCUUACUAGAGGACGUUAACAAGGAAUAUAAUAGCCUGUUUUAGCAUUUGCAGCAUGCCCACACUUGUGUUUGCUGGAGUUGCUUGACAUUUAGUUGCAUAAAAUCUGUCUGUUCAAUUUAGUUGCAAGCAUUAGAUAGCUAUGAAGUUGAAGUUGCAUGCUUUUUCUCUGAUAGAAGUCCAAUCUUUCGACAUCAAGAGCACAAGAUAAUUGAUGCGUCCUUACCUUGAUUUUGUUCUGACUUUGUAUCAUGCAUCUAUCAAUAUAUCCUCUUUCCAAAGAACACACUUACCACUGGUGGGAAAUCGUUUGCUUGGUACAACCACUUCCGUUGCUCCUAGAACGUGCUCAUUUUUUUCCCCCAAAAAAGGCCACCCUAUCUGAAUGAUUUUGUUAUGAGAAUAUUUCUUUUGUCCACCAGCUUCCAACUUGAAGCAAUCGAUUUAUUAAAAUUGUGUCAAAUUCCCACCAGUGGUAAAUGGUCUACCAGUGUACGAAACUGUUUGCUUAAUACAGCCACUUCCUUUGUUCCAAUGACGUGCUCAAUUCUUUUUUGCUAAAAGGCCACCCUUUUUGAACGAUUUUGUUAAGAGAAAUUUGAACAGCUUUUGUUCACAGCUUCCAGCCUAAAGCAAUCGAUUUCCUGAAGAUGGUAGACUGUUACUAGAUGAACUAUUAAGUUGUGCAGUUGUUCUCUACUGUCAAUGAAAUGAGAUUUUGAUUUUCAAUAUCUACUAAAUAUAAGCUUAUUACAACCUCAUAUUACACAUUUUUCAACUUUCUGAUAGAGUGAAGUAAUAUAAAUUGGUGACUUGUUGGAGAGUGUAGAUUACUGACGCUAUUAAUUUAGAGUCCUAAUAUCUGUAAAUUUGGUUUUGAAUGCAGAUCAAGCUGAGGCACAAAAUCAAGUCUCAGAGGUAUGUUAUUUGUCAUACAGCUUUUUCUUGUACUUUUGGUUUAAUUCUUGCUAUUUAUAACAAACUCUGUUACUAUUUUCUUCAAUUUUUCUGCUGAGGGUUUUAUGCUACAACUGUACAACUGUGUCAUGGUGAUUUUGAUAUCUCAAAGUGUAUGCUAAGUGUUAAAACUAUAGACCGAAAUUUUUCUCAUGUUGAUUAUGAGAGUUGAUGGCCGUAAGUAAAGUUUUGCCCAGUAUUUGGUCAGUCCUUUUCUUUUUGAUCUGAUAUAGGUUACUGCAAAACUCUUGUUUAUUCUGACAUGAGUUGUAUGCUUUCAUUCAUUUUGUGCUUUUGAAGGAUGGAAACAUCUCAAAAUCAUCUUUGUCAUUCAAAUUUUAUAUAUAUGUGUGUAUGUGUCUAUAUAUAUAUAUAUAUAUAUAUAUGAGAUACUAGAGUGAAAUUUCUUGCAUCUCAGGAAUCUUUCCAGUGGAAUGGAAUCACCAGCAAAAGAAAGGGCCAAAAGUGGGGAACUGAGAAAAAUUCAUUUUCCAGGAGAAACGAUUAUAAUAAUGCCAACAGAGACCGUCCUGUGACAUUAAGUGCCCCGAAAGAUGUACAUUUGAAUGGACCAAUUGAUUUUGAAAAGCUUCCUCUCCUUUCCUAUAUGCCAAAGGUUGGUGUAUAUUUCAGUGUCAUAUUGUUCAUAUUUAUGGCUUUGGAAUAAGACUUUUAUUUGUUGAAAUUCUCUGGUUAUGUACUUUCUUUGGCACUUUCUGUGGUACCUGGCAUUUUCAAGUAAAAGUUUAUGCCAGAAAAGUGAUUAAGAAUUUUGACAUGCUGUUCGUGUUUUAUCUUGAACAGAUUAUUUGGAAAGCUUGUUAUUUGCAAAAGAUUUUUUUGGUUGCAUUCAAAAACACGUUUUCCAACCCCCUUUUUAUCUCACAUACAUGACAUCACAAAAAAGUGCUAUAGUUUUUUUCCAAAAAAUUAUUCCAAAUAAUCUCCUAUCCAAACACAAUCAUCCUCUUUUUCAAAAUAAAUUUUAUUGUUUCCCCUCCGCCUCCUUUCCUUUAGUUUUGGGGUGGGGGGAGUCUUUCGGGCCUGGAGGGAGGGGGAUGGGUGGGGGAUUGUGUUGACGAAGUAAAAGUCCAUGCUGAAAUUGUGAACAAGUUUGACCUCCGACCUGAGAUGUCAUAUGCAUAUAAUUUUAGAGCACUAAUUACCUCCUGGUUACCUUCUAAGGUGUCUUAUUGUCUUUUCAGGUAGGUGAUGUGAUCGCGUAUCGCUUACUUGAGUUGUCGUCGACCUGGACUCCUGAAAUUUCUCCCUUUCGAGUAUGAUGGAAUUCUAACACCACUUUGAAAAACCCUUGAUUCUUAAUAUACCACCAUGAUUACAGGUUUUUGGCUUGAACUUAUGCUGCAGGUUGGGUAUGUGUCAUGGUGUAGUUCAAAAUCUGAUAAACUCAUUCUGAUGCCAGUCCCUGGGUAUCCAGUUACUACAAAGAAUGCGGAUGAAGAACCUGAUAAGCAGCCAGAUGACUCCCUUUACAAAGAAGAUGGAUCUUUGGAGGUACUUUAAAGCUGUUCACCACCUGUCAUUUUACUAGUUGCCUAUGUUAUCUUUUCUCCCGUGCGAAAUGUUAAUUAUGACAACUUUUUGUGGAUCAGGAAGGACCACAGUUUAAAGCUACUGUUGCUUUUAUUAUACUAAUAACUGUAUGCAUAAACCUGCAGAUAGGUUUUGCAACUCUUAUUGAUGUUCGUGUUGUCAAAGAUGGCCAUGAAGGUUCAACUGAAGCAGUAACUGGUGAGGCAAAUGGAGGUCCUGCAGCUACUGAGAAUGCUACAGUUUCUGAUCCACCUGCCAAUAAUGAGACACAAAUAGAUGCCCCUGCCCCCGGUAUGCAUGGUUGGUUAUGUCAGAAAAAUUAUUGAUAAUCAUUUGUGUUGGGAAAAUUACAGCUGCUAGUUUAAAAAAUGUGUCAUCAAGAAUUUGUAGAAAAUGCACAGUUUCAAUGUCAGUACAAGAUUUUUUUUUAACUCUCAACUUCUCUUGGUAAAACAUGGAAGCCUAAUGCUGCAAAAUUGGGUAAGAAAUGUGGCAAAUUCAGGGAGGUUACUUUAGGUCAUUUUUGUUGCUCUAGAAAUUAUUGGUUAACGAUAUUUGUCGGAGCUACAUAGAAAAGUUAGAAACAAAAGGUAUUGGUAUUCUGGUGCAAGCAAAUGGUGAAGCUAAUGGUUUUUUCACAUUUUGGAUAGUUUUCCUUUCUCCUCCUAGAUACUUUUAGCCAAGAUCAGGAUGUUUGGGAUUUGAAAGUAAGUAAUAAGUUUAUCUUUUGUUGACUAUAUGCAGGGAGUGGAGAAGCAAAUUGUGGGAAACAAAAAAGUGCCUCAGGCUCAGGUACUUACAAGACCUUACUGGUUCCUGAAACUGACUGCUUCUUGAGUACGUGAUUUUUUCUAUACCAUUUUGGGUUUUGAAUUUCUUACUCGUUAUAUUAUAGAAAAUGGAGGAAACAUAUGGGAGCAAUUGAGUGAGGCUUUGAAUGCCAAGAAGGAAGAACUCUCCCAAGGAAACUCUUGGGAUAAGGCCAGUUCAGGGAAAAGCUCGUGGUCCUAUAGAGCCUUAAAAGGUAGUGCCCUCGGCCCAACAAUGGCUCUGUUGAGAUCUAAAAACAAGUUAUGAGAUGAAGAGAAGGCAAGUUGGGGAUAAAUUUUGCUAUGGCGUUGCUUUUCCCCAACUAUUUUUGUUAAGUCUGGCUUGUGACAUUUAGCCUUUGUAACUUCUGAACCUGCAUAUAUUCAGUUGUGCUAACCAAGCUGAAGCCUACUGUGAAUAUCGCUCCCAACUUUCUUCAUCUAUGCGAACCUUACUUAUUGGAUCACUGCUUUCCUUGAUAAUGUGUACCUGGUGCUAAUCAACAUCACUUUUGAGGUCAUUUGCAUUCUGGAAAAAGUCGUAUUUAAAUUCUAAGGAUGCUCCUUACACUCGGGAGCUGGCAGAAUUGUUGGAUGGGUGGAAGUAUAUUGCCCUGUAUUCCCAUUUAGGUAAGAUCACCUGUAAUCGUUGCCAAUGAUCCCGUCUUUUUGGGGUCAGAACAGCCAAUUAUACCAUUGUAACACCUCAGCAAAAAUGAUGGUAGGAAGUUCCAGUUCUGAUUGUCAUUGCGGUGUUAGUACCCAAACAUGAAGCCAAAGAGCUUGCUUAUCUUGCCGUGAAAAUAAAAGCAAUUGCACGCUUCGGUAAUAAGCGCUUUAAUACUCCUUGACCUCCAGUUCCGCUUUUAAUUUCGUUACAAUGAAUAAACGUAAUGGACCAACUUACAAGGAUUGUGCGAAUGUGCUAUGAGAGUGUUGGAAAUCAUUUACAAAAUCAUGUGUUGGCCCUUUAUGUUUUUUUUUUUUCGGAAUGUUGGCCCUUAGCUACAUUGUCUGAUGAUUGAUACAUUAUUAGAACAUGAUACUCCAACUUGUUACUGAAACCAAAACGUAGUAAGAUUAGUGUUGUAUACAUUUCCCAUGAUAGUUCCCCACACAUGUUUCAGUAUAUAGUAAAUGAUCCCCUGAAAUGCAAUUAAAGUGACAAUUCUUCGAAAUGACAGAAAGCAUGGAUAACAUCCAAACCUGCAGUGUGUUUCUAUAAGAUUCUUUUCACUAUGUUUUAUACAAAAAUUACAGGAGUAUAGCUUGUAUAAGAAGGAAAGAGAAUCACUUAAUUUUGCCUCACUGCAUGACCUAAAUCUCCGCAAGCAGAGUUUCCCCAGCAUCAAAUUCAAAGCCGGCGAAACUUGUGCAAGUCAGCAAAGAUCAUCUUCAUAUUCAUACUAAAGACCAACACCUUUUGAGGUUGGAUGUAACCAAUUAUAGCUGAAUGAAGUUACUAAAGAAAAUGACUGUAGUUUUUUACUUAUUCCAAAGAAACUUACAUACUUCUGGAUUUUAUCGCAACUGGUCACCUGUACAUGAUCCCAGGAAUGUUCCGCACCUUACAUCGCACAAGCGGAAAGAGAACUCUACUGCCUGGGAUCCCAAUUAACUUACUCAGUUGCAGGUCCCUCGCAAUAUGGCGGAUGCUGAAAUUCAGGAACUAGACUUAGAAAGACUGUUGGCUCCUUUCUCCUACUUAAUUCCAUCAUCCAAUGUGUUCUGGAAUGAGAAACAGGGAAAAUGCUUCAAAAGCAGCUCUGGUUCCUCACCUUCUUUGACUAUCUGCAAUCAGUAGAACUUCAAUUAGUUCAUCCAUUCAAGAUGGUAACAACAAGAUAGAACAAAGAAGCUGAACAGAUGAUUGUCAAUGACUAAGCUACGACAGGCAAAUUAAAUCCAAAUUUCCAACUAAACUUGAAAACAAGUGUAAAGAGUCCUCCAAAUUCCAUGAAAGCACUACAAUUUCCAACUAAAAAUCAAACCAAGUUCCAGGUAGAUAACAAUUUGCACCCUCCUUGCAAACCCGGAAAAAAAAAAUGAUAGAAUAAAAAGCAAUGGUCUCCACCAACUAAAAUUGCCAAUUUUCUGCCUCUGAAUGUAGAAAGGACGAUAAAAUGAAUAUAGAUUCAAAAUCAGUUGUUCCAGCUAUGCUCACCAAAUUAAAGCAAUUAAUUUUCUAUCAUUUAAGAAGCAACCAUAUAAAAAGAAUAUACUUCUUUUAGCAUCCUAUGAUUUCUGUAAUUUUUACCAAAGGUUACAUCAGGAUACAACUUUUGGAUUAUCAGAAUACACGCUAAAUUACUAGACUUGAUAAACUAAUAAGUAAUAGCUGCUUCCACAGGAAACUGGGCUGGUAAUAUGGUGGAACUUCUCGUUUGCAUUCUCAUCUAUAUCCACUCAUGAAAAGCCAAACACAAAAUUACCCUAAUGGGAAUCUUUUCUAGAAAGAAUGAAUACCAUAUAGAAGGUCAAUGAAUUUUUCACAGAUGUGUCAAUUUAACAAUCACUGUGUACUUUAGCAAUACAACCCAAUUUAUACAAGCUACUGCACUUCAUAGUUAAGUCAGUAUAUUUGGAAAAGAUUAAAAAUGAUUCUCACAGACAUGUCAGUUGAAGCACAAAGGUUGAAUGGAUACCUGAACAACAGAGCUUGUAGCUAAACCCUUCUGAAUAAGAAAAUCACGCCCAAUUGUCUCCCACUUGAUGCAUCCAUCCUCAAAUGUGCUAUUCUUCCUAGUUUUCCCUCCCUUCUGUGAUGCUUCACGCCCUACCCACACGUACAAAACAUAAUCAUCUUGGGUGCCCAAAUUCGUGUCUUGAACAAACAUGAUAUACACAGAUCUCGAAUCAAGGAUGCCAAAAUGCAUUUCCACUUCAUGCAUAGAAGGCCACUGAUAAAGAACUAAGUUAGUUACUUCAGUAGCAGUAUCUUGUACAGCAUCAGGUGGAAGACGACAAGUCCCAAAAUGUUCAUCUUUGACUGCAUUAGAAAUUUCAUUGUCUGUCAUGAAAGUAUCACUGUCCAAUACUAACUCUUCAGUAUUCAUUUCCAAAGAACUUUCUUGAGAGUGUUUGUUAAAAUCGACAUCAUUCAUCAUUUCAUCUUCAAGGUCAGGAAGAGCAAAUGACCACGAUCUCAUCAAGUUGACUGGAACUUGGGAUGUUUCAUCGACUGAAGGUAACAUCAUCCGAGGAGGAGGAUUGUUGCCUCUUCGCUCUGCUAAAGAAAGGGAACUCCCUCUACAUGGAGAACAAGUGUUCGCCAUCUGCCAAGCAUGAGCAGAAGAAGAAUUAUCUUCUGAUGGAGAAGUUCCUUCACAGAGGAGAGGUGCACCUUCCUCCAAGUGUGCAUUUUUACCAGAAUUUAAAUCUUUAGAUUCCGAUACUGAAGGUGAUGGCUGAGCAGACAGAUAGGACAGAUCAGACCAGUUAGAAGAUGAGGGUGAGAAGGUAAAAGAACUGGAGUAGUCAGAAGUUGAAGGUGAGAGCAAGGGUGAUGUAGUAUCAGACUUUGGUCGACUAACAUGAGGACUAGGAAAAGAAUCCAAGGAACUGAAGGAAGGGGUUCGAGAUAGUGAAGG